UAUUUCUAUCUAGUAGCAAAAGCAUAAAAUCCCGCUCCGAAACCUCAAGACCAAGCAGUACCAACGUCUGGACAUAAGGUAGAUAGAGCUCUGGAGUCAGACUUGCCUGACUCAAAUCCUGCUCCAGGCAGCGCUACACCUCUGGACAAGACUACUGACCACUACAUAUGUCAUUACAUACGUGGAAAUGAUAAUGGCAUCUACCUUAUGGGGUUCCUGAGAGGAUGAUAGCAGACCACGCAUUAAAACACAAAGCACGGAACUGGGAACGUUAUAGGUUCUCAUGAAUGCCACCCAGGGAGCAUACCAAUGGUCCACUGAGCUACUGAAAUGAUGCUUCGGACCUGAUCCCUGCCUCAUAAAUAAGGACCAGACAUGGAAUCCAGGCAAGCCACAGACAGCCAAGGAAAAGGAAGAGGUCAACAAAUUUGGAACACUUUUCUUGCAAAGGAAAAAAAAUGGGUAACAUCUUCAGCUACUGCCAAACAGAGUAAAGAAAACAAAAACAUCGAACAUUAUUGCCA
This is a long non-coding RNA of Zalophus californianus (California sea lion), 524 nucleotides long. RefSeq lists it as uncharacterized. The record is from RefSeq and is a predicted model, not a curated record. The transcript has 3 exons. Lineage: Eukaryota; Metazoa; Chordata; Mammalia; Carnivora; Otariidae.